Molecule: long non-coding RNA, 210 nt
Filed under: Hordeum vulgare
Lineage: Eukaryota; Viridiplantae; Streptophyta; Magnoliopsida; Poales; Poaceae
Description: long non-coding RNA (HVUL_LNC016006)
Source: RNAcentral
AGGAUGACAUAGAGAUUUGUAAAGCACACACGGAUCUGAAAGGUUCAGACCCGUUAACUAAAAACCUCUCUUACAAGCAAAAACACAAUUAAACCCCAAAACUCAUUGGGUGUGAAUCACAUAGUGAUGUGAACUAGAUUAUUGACUCUAGUGCAAGUGGGAGACUGUUGGAAAUAUGCCCUAGAGGAAAUAAUAAAUUAGUUACUAUUA